CCUGGCUAGGACGAACGCUGGCGGCGUGCCUAACACAUGCAAGUCGAGCGAUGAAGUCUCGGAACGGAUUAGCGGCGGACGGGUGAGUAACACGUGGGUAACCUGCCUUGUAGAGGGGGAUAGCCUUCCGAAAGGAAGAUUAAUACCGCAUAACAUCUUUUUAUCGCAUGGUAGAAAGAUCAAAGGAGUAAUCCGCUACAAGAUGGACCCGCGGCGCAUUAGCUAGUUGGUGAGGUAACGGCUCACCAAGGCGACGAUGCGUAGCCGACCUGAGAGGGUGAUCGGCCACAUUGGAACUGAGACACGAUCCAGACUCCUACGGGAGGCAGCAGUGGGGAAUAUUGCGCAAUGGGGGGAAAAACCCCUGACGCAGCAACGCCGCGUGAAUGAAGAAGGCCUUAGGGUUGUAAAGUUCUGUUUACGGGGACGAUAAUGACGGUACCCGUGGAGGAAGCCACGGCUAACUACGUGCCAGCAGCGGC
This 482-nucleotide ribosomal RNA is filed under the name uncultured bacterium. RNAcentral's name for it is "bacterial SSU rRNA". It matches the Rfam family "Bacterial small subunit ribosomal RNA", at positions 18 to 518 of the family's 1533-position model. The record is from RNAcentral.